Asparagus officinalis (garden asparagus) is the source of this 285-nucleotide long non-coding RNA. RefSeq lists it as uncharacterized. The record is from RefSeq and is a predicted model, not a curated record. Lineage: Eukaryota; Viridiplantae; Streptophyta; Magnoliopsida; Asparagales; Asparagaceae. The transcript has 2 exons.
AUACAGAGGAAGCCUCUUCAAGUAUUUAGUUUAUUUGGAGGAAAGAAGGAGAAGAGUGAGAACAGUGACGAUACACCACAAAAGGUUUUGGGCUCAUAUCGUGAUGGCAUAUGAAUUACUCUUUUGUUGUUGCGGAUAGGGUUUAUCAUACAAGCACUUCUGAAUUCUCAGUUGUAAUUUCUUUACAUCAAGAAUACUUCUCUUCUCACAUGCUAUUCAGUUUGCAACUCUUUGUAUUUUUUCUUAUUAACAUUUCUCUUGGUAUAUCAAAGACCAAAUUGACUA